Molecule: ribosomal RNA, 253 nt
Filed under: uncultured bacterium
Lineage: Bacteria
Description: partial 16S ribosomal RNA
Rfam family: Bacterial small subunit ribosomal RNA
Source: RNAcentral
UACAGAGGUCCCGAGCGUUGUUCGGAUUCACUGGGCGUAAAGGGUGCGUAGGCGGUCGGGUAAGUCUGAUGUGAAAUCUCGGAGCUUAACUCCGAAAUGGCAUCGGAUACUAUUCGGCUGGAGGGUUGGAGGGGGGACUGGAAUUCUCGGUGUAGCAGUGAAAUGCGUAGAUAUCGAGAGGAACACCAGUGGCGAAGGCGAGUCCCUGGACAACUCCUGACGCUGAGGCACGAAAGCCAGGGGAGCAAACGGG